Molecule: transfer RNA, 72 nt
Filed under: Camelus bactrianus (Bactrian camel)
Lineage: Eukaryota; Metazoa; Chordata; Mammalia; Artiodactyla; Camelidae
Also listed under: 2 other names
Rfam family: tRNA
About the family: Transfer RNA (tRNA) molecules are approximately 80 nucleotides in length. Their secondary structure includes four short double-helical elements and three loops (D, anti-codon, and T loops).
Source: Rfam by way of RNAcentral
GGAAGUAUAGCUCAGCGGUAGAGUGCAUGCCUAGCAUGCAUGAGACCUUGGGUUCAAUCCCCAGUACCUCUG